GAGAGACAGAGUGAGUGAGUGAGAGAGAGAGAAUGUAAGCACAGAAGAAGCACAAGCAGCAACAGCAGCAGCAUCAGGAAGACACUUCGAGCAAAGACAGCCAUCAAUGGAGGCUCCACUCAGGCAGCUCAAGUGAAUAUGCCAGCAUCCUGAGGCUGUGGCGACUGCUCAAAGACACUGUGGAAUAUGUAAGAUACCAGGGAACCACCAUGGGCGCUCUGCAGCAGACCUGAACAAGUCAGUGAUGAUGGAAGGGGCUGAAUGGAUCAGAUCCAGAAACAAAGGAAUACACAGGUCAGGAGAGAAACAAGUAAGGCAACAGACUCUUUAUUUAAUGUGGUUUAAAAUACAUCAAAAUCAAGUCCCUGGCUGUUGUGAAUACCCAAAGGAGACAAAAAAGCUGCCAGUGCAGCUUCAAACAAGUCUGAGUGGCCGGGCUGGGCCAUAAGGAAAGCAGUUACAGGGACAGAAGGCAGCUCCCUUCCCCCAGGAAGGGCAAGAGGAGCAGGUGCCUGGCUGUCCCUGGGGUGACCACCUCUGUGCUGUGCAAGGCGGAAAGGCUGGGGCAGCAGCUGGAGAAUCAGCUCAGCAGGCCUUGGCCCUCCCCCGUGGACACCAGGCAGCUCCACUGGCCUCCGGGUCAGCCCUCAGGGCCACCGUGAUGGGGUGGAGGAGGGUUAAAUAACCAUCUUUACAGAAAUAACAGUCUCCUACAGAAAGUGCCUGAGCUCAGCCCAUGGUCCGAUAACCUCAUGGAAAACAAACAACAAAUAAAAAAAAAAAGUGCUGCUGACACCUCUCAGAAUCUGGUGGACAUGAAGCUCUCAGCUGGACAAGGCCCUGAAAACAAUUUACUAUUAGCAGAGCCAUGCGCUCUUGAGCUUCACCUGCUGUGGUCCCCUGGAGGAAAAGCUAGCAAUCUAAGAAACCAACACAGAUCUUGGUCCUAAAACUGAGGUCACAAGUGUGGGACCCACCCAGGUGAGGAAGACACUGGCCUUCACUCAUGGAUAGGCACCUCCCCUGCAUCUGGCCCAGGACCUGGGCUACUUUGGAAAGCAGAAGCAGAGCAGCUGUAGUGAUUGGUUGAUUUGGUCAAUGAAGAGAAGAAAAAGGUAGGGAACCUCAUCUGCAGACUGGCCUGAAGGUCUAGACAUGGAUGGAGCUGUGAGCAAAGGCUGCACCUUGCCUGGGGCCCACAUUCCUGACCUGGGAAACCCAGCUGGGGCCACCUGCUCACUGUGGCCUCCUACACCACCACACUGGGAUCCAGCAGCUCCAGUCCCUCCACAGGCAUUAAGAGGUAGCUGAAGUGUGAGUCAGGCAAUUAUGUGGGCCACUGUAGGCCUUUCCCCUCUCUUCAAGGGGGAAGGUGCAUACCUCUGCCUCUUCCCUGCACCUCUCUCGCCUAGCAAACACUCUGUGAGGUUGGCAGCUCUUGUACCAGCUUAGCCUGGCACAGGGGCUGGGGUAGGGAAAAGGCCCUACUGGAGCAGGAAGAGGCAAGGACUACUCCAGACAGAGGGAUUCAAAGGGGAAGAAAAAGGUCAUGGGAAACACUUCACAGGACAGCAGUAUCUCAGCCAGAGAUGGCAGAGAUCUCAACACUCACACAGCUGCUUGAGGGCACCUAGAUGUGAAGGAUACACCAGAGAAUAGCAGGCAACUCUGAUGCAGAUCAGUGGUACCUGCCCUGGGGCAGGAGAAGGAGAAAUGGUGUGCCAUUCAUUUGCCAUCUCUGGUCUCAGUCACACAUGAUUCAGUACUUAACAUUCUUUGUGAACCAACUUAUCUGAGAGAUUUAAGGUAAGGGCUAAAAGAGUGGGCUAGGUAUGGAAGAUGAAGGGACCUGCAGGACAAUGAACUAGCUUCAAAGAAAAACAGCAAGAAGCAAAGCCCUAACCAUCCUAUCCAUCUUGGUCUGAGUCAUUCUGUUGUCCCAGAAAACUGCUUGGCACAAACACUGGCUAAUACCCUGGCAAGUUUGCAACAGCAGAACAUUCAGCAUAUAGAAUGGCUCUACACAGUACAUAGUAGUUAUGUACUGGAGUGGGGGUAGAACAGGACACAGAAACAACUGUCUGCAGCCAUUUUAUGGAUUUCUGGGGCCCAGUCAAUAGUUCAAUUUCAUUUCUUACCUGUUAGACAACAGCUAUGGGCUCCCACACAGGAAGAAGUAGAAUCCCCAAGGACAGGCAGGGAGGUGCCAGGAAAUAGAAUCAGGACAAAUCUUGAGGAUUGCACAUGUGGGGGUGGGGGCAGGAAGCAGAAAAACCCAUGAAGCCAAAGAGGCAGCUGGACAUGGGACCCAGCAACUGCUGCAUGGAGACAGUGCUGAUGGGAACUGGUGGUGGCCUCUCAGGACUGAAACCCACAGGUAAGCUUGUGGCAAAGCCAUCAGAAGCCCUUUCCUUUCUUUUACCACAAACAACCUGAUCUCACCAAACAGGAAACCUCAGCAUCAAGAUGGCAAAGGAGCCAAGUGGGGUGGUGAAGGAGGUGGGACACUGGAGGCCAGGCACCCAGGCACCACUGCUACAGCAUCCCUCUUCCUUGGAAGGUCCUCAAUACAAACACUGUCAUGUGCAAAAAAAAAAGAAAAAGAAAAAAAAAAAAAAAGAAAAAGAAAUAAAGAAAAAAACACCUUCAGAAAUAAUCCUUUGGGUGAUCUCUUGUCAAUCAUUUGUGCAGGCUAGAGAGGCACCUGUGAAUGAUAAGGCUACUGAGAAGCAUCAUUGGCCUGGUCCUGGCACUACCAAAGGGCAGGGGAAGCGAUGCCCAAGGGGCUCCUGACCAGCACAUCAUCCCACGCAAAAACAUUCUCCAGGUCCCUUGUUCCAGGCAGGAAAUCCCCAGCUCUGAGCGCCCUGCCAGGGCUCUGCCUAGGGACACCUUUUCCAGGUCUAGAGAAUCAAAGGAGCCUCCAGAGCAGCUAGGAGGGCCUGAGCUGACCAAGCAAGCCCUGCUCACAAGACAAAUGCAGUCAAGACCUGGGUGUAUUACUUGUCUUGAGCUCUGAAGGGCAGGGAGGGGUCUGAGCCUCAAAUCAGACAGAGAAAUGCUCAAGUCACUUCUGCCAACUCACUGUGAUGGCAGCUACAGAUGACAGCCCCUCUCAAGACUCUUCAGCUCACAGACAAGCCACUGACUUCAUCUGUACACACCCCCAUCCCCAAUGCAAGCCCACUGUACACUUACAGGUAUAAAUGCAUUUGCAAGGCCUUGCAAAAUGCCCUAUGUACGUAAAACUGACCCACAAAAUCCAAAAUUGCAAGUGCCAGAUGCCAGCCAGGUCAGAACAUCCUGGCUUCAGCAAUGGGCUGCUCAGCAUGGGAGCCUUUUAUGGGCCAGGCCUGGCUGGGCUGCCGCUCCCUUCCCAGCAUGACCCAACACCAGGCUCUCUAGGCCCUGGCGGAGGUGGGCUCUUGAGGCCCAGUCUGGCCUGAUGCUUCUGUGCUCGGUGCUCCUGGGUAGCAAGGCGCUUCUGUGACCCUGGGGGAGCUGGGUGCUUGAGCCCCAGGCCCCUCUGGCCUCCUCUCAGGGCCACUGUCAGUGAGGGAGCCCUGGCCACCAGCACUCAGGUCCUGUACCCUCUUGUUCAGGUCAUUGCGCUCUGUCUGCAGUGCCCGGCACAGCUUCUCCAGCCGUUGGAUUUUUACCUGCAGGCCCUCCAGUUCUUUAUCCCGGACUGUUUUCUAGGGAAAGAAAUGAGACCUUCAGUGCCGUGCCCCAUCAACCUCCCACUUACCAUCACCACUUGGCGGCAAACACUUUAACAAGGCUGAGAGCAGACCGAGUCCAAAGCUGGCCCCCUCUAGGAAACAGUCCUAGUUGAAGCCAUGACUAGGCUGUCAGGUGGGGCAGCAUGGUGCAGAAAAGGGGCACGGCUUGGAGAUAACGUAUUCCUCCAUUUAUCUACCACGUGACCUUGGCAAAGGACUUGACUUUUGAGCCUGUCUCAUCUAUAAAACAGGACUACUAAUACCAUCCUCAGAGCUCAAGAGAAGGUUCAAUGAACAACGUACCUAAAAACAUUCAGCAGCAAAAAAGACAAAAAAAACCCAAAAACUUUCAGCAAGGUCUGGCUUGCAGUUGCUGCUCCAUCGUUAGUUCCUUUCUUCUACAUUACAAGCUGUGAAAUCACAAACUACCUGGGCUGCUUUACAUGUAAACCAGGCACAUCACUGGCACCCGUUUUUUUCUGCUCUUUUAUUCCUUUCUUCCAUUUGCUCCCUUCACUCCCACUGGAGACCUACCACUGGGCUCACCACCUCCCAUGGGGAGAGAACAGCAUUAACUUUGGACUUGGACAUUGUGUGCAAAUCUCACCUCUACCUCAUGCUAGCUGUGUCACUGAUGGGUAGAACAUACAGGAAAGGGCCUGAUAUGCGCUAAGUGCACACCCCCACCCUGGCUGCAGAUCACAGACAGCCCACCUCCUCAGCCAUCUCAAGCAGGGCCUUGUUGCUGCUCUCCCACCGGGACCGGUACAUGGUGGUUUCUUUCUCCAGCUUCUUGAUCUUCUUAGUCAUCUAGGUUAUGUGACAGACAGAAGGAAAUGGUCAGAGCUGGCCUCUCCAAGGUCUGUGUCUCCAAGGUGGGGACUGCACCUGUGUCUCCAAGGUGGGGAAUGAUUGAUCCCAAGGCGCAAGGCAUUACAGGAUGCAGUCAAUGCCCUCUGUGCCACCUCACCACCAGGAAGUCAGAGGUGUCCACCACCAAUAACAAGGAAUGGUAAGGGGCCAGGCAUGGUGGCUCACGCCUAUAAUCCCAGCACUUUGGGAGGCCAAGGCGGGCAGAUCACUUGAGGCCAAGAGUUCGAGACCAGCCUGGCCAACAUGGUGAAACCCCGUCUCUACUAAAAAUACAAAAAAAAAAGAAAGAAAAAAUUAGCCAGGCAUGGUGGCACGCGCCUGUAAUUCCAGCUAGUCAGGAGGCUGAGGCAGGAGAAUCACUUGAACCCGGGGGGCAAAGGCUGCAAUGAGCUGAGAUCAUGCCACUGCACUCCAGCCUGGGCAAUAGGUGAGUCUCCAUCUCAAACAACAACAACAACAACAACAACAACAACAAACCCCCCAAAAAAACCAAACAAACAGAAAAGACUGCCCCAUUCCCUGGGACAACCUGGAGUGUAUACAUACCACUGAUACUGCCUCAAGAGGGGAAAGGCUGUGAACCUUCCUAACAGCCCUGCCCUUGAGACACCCCAGAUGGGAGCUUCCUGAAGGCAGGCCCAACAAUUUUGAAUGAAGCAGCUUAUGCCCCAGCAGCCAUGCCUGGCCUGGACCACAGUUACCUUUUCCAUCUCCUGCUUGAAUGUGGUGAAUACCUCGCUGCUUUUGGAAAGUGUGUUCUGGAACUCCUCAAACUUCUCUGUGUAUAGGGCAAGCUGUGGG
RNAcentral lists this long non-coding RNA (5396 nucleotides) under Homo sapiens (human). Its description in RNAcentral is "non-protein coding lnc-TMEM234-4:1". Lineage: Eukaryota; Metazoa; Chordata; Mammalia; Primates; Hominidae. The record is from RNAcentral.